AUUGAACGCUGGCGGCAGGCCUAACACAUGCAAGUCGAGCGGUUGGCGGGAGCUUGCUCCCUGAUUCAGCGGCGGACGGGUGAGUAAUGCCUAGGAAUCUGCCUAUUAGUGGGGGACAACGUUUCGAAAGGAACGCUAAUACCGCAUACGUCCUACGGGAGAAAGCAGGGGACCUUCGGGCCUUGCGCUAAUAGAUGAGCCUAGGUCGGAUUAGCUUGUUGGUGAGGUAAUGGCUCACCAAGGCGACGAUCCGUAACUGGUCUGAGAGGAUGAUCAGUCACACUGGAACUGAGACACGGUCCAGACUCCUACGGGAGGCAGCAGUGGGGAAUAUUGGACAAUGGGCGAAAGCCUGAUCCAGCCAUGCCGCGUGUGUGAAGAAGGUCUUCGGAUUGUAAAGCACUUCAAGUUGGGAGGAAGGGUUGUAGAUUAAUACUCUGCAAUUUUGACGUUACCGACAGAAUAAGCACCGGCUAACUCUGUGCCAGCAGCCGCGGUAA
RNAcentral lists this ribosomal RNA (500 nucleotides) under uncultured bacterium. RNAcentral's name for it is "partial 16S ribosomal RNA". It matches the Rfam family "Bacterial small subunit ribosomal RNA", at positions 30 to 523 of the family's 1533-position model. The record is from RNAcentral.